This 218-nucleotide unclassified non-coding RNA is filed under the name rhizosphere metagenome. RNAcentral describes it as "partial ribosomal RNA internal transcribed spacer region". The record is from RNAcentral.
GAAAUAAAUCUGAUGAGUUGUUGCUGGCUCUCUAGAGAGCAUUGUGCACGCUUGUCAUCUUUAUGUCUCCACCUGUGCACAUUUUGUAGACCUGGAUCACUUGUUGUCUUUCCUUGCAUUUCUAGGUCUAUGUUCUUUUUCAUAUAAUCUUAUUGUGAUAUGAUGGACCCUAUAUAAUAUAAACCUAUACAACUUUCAGCAACGGAUCUCUUGGCUCU